This 301-nucleotide ribosomal RNA is filed under the name uncultured bacterium. Its description in RNAcentral is "partial 16S ribosomal RNA". It matches the Rfam family "Bacterial small subunit ribosomal RNA", at positions 509 to 808 of the family's 1533-position model. The record is from RNAcentral.
CAGUAGCCGCGGGAAUACGUAGGUCCCGAGCGUUGUCCGGAUUUAUUGGGCGUAAAGCGAGCGCAGGCGGUUUGAUAAGUCUGAAGUUAAAGGCUGUGGCUCAACCAUAGUUCGCUUUGGAAACUGUCAAACUUGAGUGCAGAAGGGGAGAGUGGAAUUCCAUGUGUAGCGGUGAAAUGCGUAGAUAUAUGGAGGAACACCGGUGGCGAAAGCGGCUCUCUGGUCUGUAACUGACGCUGAGGCUCGAAAGCGUGGGGAGCGAACAGGAUUAGAUACCCCCGUAGUCCCUGUCUCUUAUACC